AGCAUUUAUUAAACACCUCUGGUGCAAGAGAAACAAAGACAAACAGGAAGCAGUCCUUGCCCUCAAUGAGCUUACACUCUAGAGGCCCGAGGGGGGUGGGGGGAGGAAGAAAAGAUAAACCCACACAGAAAUAAAUACAAAGCAGCAGUGGAUUCCAGAAAGUGCUAAUAACUGAGGGGAACAGAAUAGUCAGAGAUGUAGAACUAGAGGGAAACCCCAGAGAACUGGGUGUGAGUGAGCCCUUUUCACAGAUGAGGGGCAAAGCGAAGACCACUAGGAUGAAGCAAUGGGUGUCCUAGGUGGGAUAGAAAUUCAAACCCAUUCUUCUAGCCACUACUCUGAGCAGAGCAGCGAGAGGGGACACCUAAACUGGUCUCUGAAAGCAGCUAGGGAGGGAGAGAAUUCCAGACUUUGGGGGCCACCUGUACAAAGGCAGGAGACAGAAUGUUAUGUACAGGGGACAGGGUGACCAAUUUUACUGGAACAGACUGUUCAGGACAGGUGUAAAGAAGAGUCCUUUUUAAAUGGAAAAGAGGUGGAAGUCUCACACCCUUAGGGCCUUGCAGCAAGUCAAAAAUCAGCAGGGGAGCAGACAGCAAUGUCCCUCAGGCCCCCUCCCACUGCCCAGUAGUUUGGGCCCUGCUGGAGGAUGCCCCCCCCCCCCAGCUCAAGACUUGGUCCCCUUCCCCCCACCCCCCAGGCCUUUCACCUUCUAGAUGCCAGGGCAGCAGCUCUUCCUCAAUCCUCGAAGACAGGAGCAGAGCUCAGCAGUUCUUCAACUGGCAGCUUUAGCUGGGACAAGACAUAAAGCUCGCCACUGAAGAACUGCUGUGGCUCGGCCAGGAAUGUGUGGGGGGCACAGGAUCCUGGGGGGUGGAGGGAGGAGGGGGGAGAAGAGGGAAGAAGCUGGUCAGAGCCAUCCUGGGGCACUAAUUGCCAGGCAGGGCCAUGGUCCAGUUGCUACCAUCGCACCUUUCCGAGGCCUUUUCCCCACCAUAUCACGUCCCCAGCCCAUAGUAGGACUUUAAUGUAAAGGGCACUAUGGGAAAAAAAAUCAUCAGGCAGCAUUCAGCUCAUCAGCACCCCCAGUCACCUAGCCCGGUCCUCCCCCCUUCCAGCCCCCUCCCACUCCUACAUUCUCAGCUGGGAUGGGGGGGGGGGGGGCAAUGAGGCUGGGUCCCGGGGCACGGAGCUCGGCGGCUGCCCGGCACUAGGUGGACAGGCUAUCUGGCCUCGGUGGUCACCCCUGGGCCUCUUCCUGGGGACCUCAGCUGGGUCUGGAAGGAGGGGGCUAGGGGCCCAGGGAGAAGAGGGGAAGGUGCCGGGGGGGAGGAGCCAGGGCUCAGGGGCUCGGGAGGAAGCCAGCAGGGGGAGGGUGACUCAGGCGAGGGGCCCGAGCGGAGGGCAGCAGGGGGCGGGUGGAUGGGCAGGUUCUCCAGGCCUCUCGGAUGCCAGGCAUUCCGCUCGCGCAUUCCGGGUACAUCUGGUAUGAAUUCCAGGCUGUCUGCCGGCCCCUCCGUGUCUGAACUUUGUUCCAAGUCCCAGGCCCCGCCCCCAGGUUCCAACGCAUGAAUCAGCAGGAAAAGCCACGGCCCUGCAGCAUGGCCCAGGGAGGGGGCUGGGGGCGUGGCUGGGCUCGGGAGUCGCCCCCCCCCAACCCCCAGCCCUGGCUUAGUCCAAGGGCACGGCCCCCUUCCCGGGAGGGCAGCGCUCCCUCCAAACCUCCAGUACCCGGGCGGGUUCUGCUCCCCGGCAGGGGGCCAGGGGCCGGGGGCAAACCCGGCGCGCAGCUUCCCCAGGGAGGGAGCCCGAGAGAAUGUGCCCUCUGUAGCGAGCUCUGCGUCGCCCCCUCCCCGGCCCACAAGCUCUCCUGCGGACGGUCCUGGGCCGGGCAGGUGCCCUUGGCAGAGAGGCAGGACCGGACCAGGGCAGUGGCCAGUUACUCUAUCACCCCCUUGGCGCCCGGACAGCCCCGAGGACGAGCCGCGGUGGCAGCUGGAGUCAGCGACUGGGUCUUAAGGGUGGGGGAAGAUCGCAGGGAGGCCACCGGGAGAGGCCAAUAGUAGGGGAGUGGAGGGAGGAGAAACGCCGAGAGGAGGCGGGGAAGGGAGCCCAGUGAUGACUAACUCAGACCGCCCCACCCAGCCAGCCGGCUUCUCGGGCGGUCAGGGCCGGGCCUGGGUUGGGGGCCGCUCACUCGGGCGGGGCAGGGGGGGAGGUGCAGAGGUGACCUUUCCGAGGCCGAGCCCGCCGGGCCAGAGAAGGGGCAGAGGGGGAGGGGAGAAAGAGUUUCUAGGCCCCCCCCAUCCCCCCAAAUGAAACCUUAGCCUGGGAGUUGCAUAAGACCCCGCGCCGCCGCCGCCCCCCCCCAACUACCCCCCCUUUACAUAAGGCUCCCCCACUCCUCCCCCGGAGGGGAGGGGCCGUCCCGUCUAGCGACCCCUCCCCGGACAGGGGACGGACUCGGGACAGUGGCCGAGCCUUCGCUAGGAGAUGGGCGGGGGGGGGAGGAUAGAGAGGAGCGACCCUCCCGCCGGAUCCCGCCCGGUCCGGUCCGGCCCCAUCCGUGAACUUACCCCGGGCCGGACGCCACGCCGGCUCCCGUCCUAGACCCAGGACCCCGGUCUUUGCUGGGCCCGCGGCGGGGCCGCCCUGGCUCCCCAGUACCAUCUGAUAGGACUGAAUCUCCCCCACCCAAUUCACCCCCUCCCGGGGGGACUAUCGCUUGCCAACCUCCCUCGGACCAAACUUGGGUUGACGCCCCUCUCCCGGGGCUGGCACCCACCCACCUCGCCGCCCCCUCUUCGGCCGGAGUGCAAGGGUGUGGCCAACAGACCCCGCUGCCCGCCCGGACCCAGCUCCCGGCGCGGCGCCCACGGCUCACACCCACCUGGUCCGGGACGAGGGCGAGGGCGCGGGAGCCCGAGCGCUGGGGGGGGGGGGGGGGGGGGCGGGCUGGACUAGGAGGGAGCGGGUCCCACGCGUCCGCUCCCCUCGGCCGGCGCCGCCGUCUCUCCCAAGCGCCCCGCACACACCGGCUCCAGCCUCCGAUCAGCUGGCGGCGUCGUGACGCACGACACCCGGUUGCACCGCCCUCAACCAAUCACCGCCCGCCGCUGGCGAGCGUGGCCACGCCUUGGGGCGCCCCAACCCCGCCCCCAUCCCCGCCUACAAGGCCAUUUCAGCUCUGAUUGACACCGAGGUCAUCCCCUUCCUGUCGAGCAAAGCAUCUUUCAACCCUGCCUCCCAACUCGCGAGAUGG
This 3262-nucleotide long non-coding RNA is filed under the name Sarcophilus harrisii (Tasmanian devil). RNAcentral describes it as "lncRNA (ENSSHAG00000023946.1)". Lineage: Eukaryota; Metazoa; Chordata; Mammalia; Dasyuromorphia; Dasyuridae. The record is from RNAcentral.